GACGAACGCUGGCGGCGUGCUUAACACAUGCAAGUCGAACGGUGAAGCGCCUUCCUUUUUGGUGGGUGUGGAUGAGUGGCGAACGGGUGAGUAACACGUGAGUAACCUGCCCCCUUCUUCUGGAUAACCGCAUGAAAGUGUGGCUAAUACGGGAUAUUCUGGGUCUGUCGCAUGAUGGGUCUGGGAAAGAUAUUGUUUCGGUGGGGGAUGGGCUCGCGGCCUAUCAGCUUGUUGGUGGGGUGAUGGCCUACCAAGGCGGUGACGGGUAGCCGGCCUGAGAGGAAGACCGGCCAGACUGGGACUGGGGCACGCCGCGGAGUAUUACGGAAGGUGGCAGUGGGGCUUAUUGGACGAUGGGGGAGGGGGUGAGGCAGCCAUGGGGUGUGAGUGAUCAAGGGCUAAGGGUGGAAGAGCGCCUUUAUUGUGGAUGAGAAGGACAGUACUGGGAGAAUAAGCCCCGGCUAAUACGUU
Molecule: ribosomal RNA, 471 nt
Filed under: uncultured bacterium
Lineage: Bacteria
Description: partial 16S ribosomal RNA
Rfam family: Bacterial small subunit ribosomal RNA
Source: RNAcentral